ACUAUAGAAUACUCAAGCUAUGCAUCCAACGCGUUGGGAGCUCUCCCAUAUGGUCGACCUGCAGGCGGCCGCGAAUUCACUAGUGAUUUCCGUAGGUGAACCUGCGGAAGGAUCAUUACUGAAAAACUAUUUUAAGUUUUUUAUAUCCCAUUGUUUACUUACCCUGUUGCUUUCACUGGACAGAUUUCACCUUGUGUGGGUCCUUUGGCUUGUGUGAAAUACCACUUGCCAAAGAGUUGCCAGUGGUAAGACCUAUUUAUCAAAACUUGAGUUUCAAUAAACACAACUGUCUGAAUAUUUUUUUUCUUUAAUGAAAUAAAACUUUCAACAACGGAUCUCUAGGCUCUUGCAUCGAUGAAGAACGCAGUGAAAUGCGAUAAGUAAUGUGAAUUGCAGAAUCUCGUGAAUCAUUGAAUCUUUGAACGCACAUUGCGCCCUAUGGUAUUCCAUUGGGCAUGCCUGUCUGAGCGUCAGCUCCCCCUCCACUCAAGAAUUAUUUUAUAUGAUACUUGGAUUACUUUGGAGAUGUAACUGUAUAUUAAGUUGCCCUCCAGAAAUUCAUUGGCAGUAUGGUUUGUACUUGGACCAGACGUAAUAGUAAUAAAAUCGUUUGUUUGGGUAUAAUUGAAUUGUACUUGCCUUAACCCCCACCCAUUUUUAUUUUGGGUGACCUCAGAUCAGGUAGGGAUACCCGCUGAACUUAAGCAUAUCAAUAAGCGGAGGAAAUCGAAUUCCCGCGGCCGCCAUGGCGGCC
RNAcentral lists this unclassified non-coding RNA (754 nucleotides) under Terfezia boudieri. Its description in RNAcentral is "sequence contains ITS1, 5.8S rRNA gene and ITS2". The stretch from base 320 to 473 matches the Rfam family "5.8S ribosomal RNA". Lineage: Eukaryota; Fungi; Ascomycota; Pezizomycetes; Pezizales; Pezizaceae. The record is from RNAcentral.